AGAAUCAACGCUGGCGGCGUGCCUAACACAUGCAAGUCGAACGAGAAAGUGGAGCAAUCCAUGAGUAAAGUGGCGCACGGGUGAGUAACACGUGACUAACCUACCUUUUAGUGGGGGAUAACCUAGGGAAACCUGGGCUAAUACCGCAUAAUACCUACGGGUCAAAGCAGCAAUGCGCUGAAAGAGGGGGUCGCGGUCGAUUAGUUAGUUGGCAGGGUAAUGGCCUACCAAGACUGUGAUCGAUAUCCGGCCUGAGAGGGCGCACGGACACACUGGAACUGAAACACGGUCCAGACUCCUACGGGAGGCAGCAGUGGGGAAUUUUGCGCAAUGGGGGAAACCCUGACGCAGCAACGCCGCGUGGAGGAUGAAGUCCCUUGGGACGUAAACUCCUUUCGAUCGGGACGAUAAUGACGGUACCGGAAGAAGAAGCCCGGAUAACGUUCGUGCCAGCAGCCGC
This 460-nucleotide ribosomal RNA is filed under the name uncultured bacterium. Its description in RNAcentral is "SSU rRNA". It matches the Rfam family "Bacterial small subunit ribosomal RNA", at positions 26 to 518 of the family's 1533-position model. The record is from RNAcentral.